GCAUCCGUAGCCGGCUGCUCAAGUUUCCGGUUAAAUCCACACGCUUAACGUAUGGGCUGCCGGAAAUACUGUUCAGCUAGGGAGUGGGAGAGGUAGACGGUACUCGAUAGGAAGGGGUAAAAUCCUUUGAUCUAUUGAUGACCACCUGUGGCGAAGGCGGUCUACCAGAACACGUUCGACGGUGAGGGAUGAAAGCUGGGGGAGCAAACCGGAUUAGAUACCCGGGUAGUCCCAGCUGUAAACGAUGCAGACUCGGUGAUGCAUUGGCUUAUGGCCAGUGCAGUGCCGCAGGGAAGCCGUUAAGUUUGCCGCCUGGGAAGUACGUACGCAAGUAUGAAACUUAAAGGAAUUGGCGGGGGAGCACAAGCCG
Molecule: ribosomal RNA, 370 nt
Filed under: uncultured Nitrososphaerota archaeon
Lineage: Archaea; Thermoproteati; Nitrososphaerota
Description: bacterial SSU rRNA
Rfam family: Archaeal small subunit ribosomal RNA
Source: RNAcentral